RNAcentral lists this transfer RNA (73 nucleotides) under Polychrus marmoratus (common monkey lizard). Its description in RNAcentral is "tRNA-Leu specifying CUN codons". It matches the Rfam family "tRNA". From Rfam's summary of the family: Transfer RNA (tRNA) molecules are approximately 80 nucleotides in length. Their secondary structure includes four short double-helical elements and three loops (D, anti-codon, and T loops). Further hydrogen bonds mediate the characteristic L-shaped molecular structure. tRNAs have two regions of fundamental functional importance: the anti-codon, which is responsible for specific mRNA codon recognition, and the 3' end, to which the tRNAs corresponding amino acid is attached (by aminoacyl-tRNA synthetases). tRNAs cope with the degeneracy of the genetic code in two manners: having more than one tRNA (with a specific anti-codon) for a particular amino acid; and 'wobble' base-pairing, i.e. permitting non-standard base-pairing at the 3rd anti-codon position. The record is from RNAcentral. Lineage: Eukaryota; Metazoa; Chordata; Lepidosauria; Squamata; Polychrotidae.
ACUUUUAGAGGAUGACAGUCUAAUCCAUUGGUCUUAGGAACCAAAAACCUUGGUGCAUCUCCAAGUAAAAGUA